Non-coding RNA from Pelobates cultripes (western spadefoot toad), 492 nucleotides. Lineage: Eukaryota; Metazoa; Chordata; Amphibia; Anura; Pelobatidae. The record is from the annotation of a GenBank genome assembly.
AUGAAUUUACAGAUAAGAAAGCACUGUAAUUUUCCCCACAUAUUCUAUAAUCCUUUUACAUAUAUAUUAUUCUAUAUUUUCUUUAUACAUUUAUUUAUUCCCCAUGUAUUGUAUAUGUAUGUAUAUUAUAUAUUGUAUAUGUUGCCUCUUUACCUUUGGAUUGCCAAUACCAUGCCACCCUCACAUUAGAGCCAAAGACACAAACACACUUAUACAUUCACACAUAUACACACACAUAAUCACAGACCCAAACUUAAUUACAGACAUACACUCACAAUGACAUACACACAUAAUCACAGACAUACACACACAUACAAAUCUACACACACAUUUAAUCAGAUAUAUACACAUAACGAGAGACAUACACACAAUCACAGGCAUACACACACACACACACAUAAUCACAUUCUUAUACAAAUACAAUUUUGUCUUUAUUAAAAGGUCCACCAUUGGGAGGUCUGAAGUGGUUCUUCUCCCUGGUGACCAGUGGUU